CUGUCAUUUACCAGGGCAUCUUGCAUGAGUCCCAUCUUGAGUCUCAGACUUUGCUUUUUCUAUUUACCACCUCAGCUGAUAACUAUGGUUUCCCUUCUACGCUUUUCAGGGUCUUUAGGACAUGCCUUCCGAUUGCUUUUGAAGACAGUACUAAUACUGGCUACCCACCUGGUAUCUUUGCUUUCUCUACUGAGCUCACCAUCAAGAGGUGCUUUUACUCAGGCUGUUUGCCAAAGGUGGUCCAUAAGAACACCCCCACACCUUCCUAGCAGGCUUCUAUUUUGUACCCUUCCCACUGUAAAUGUGAAAGCUUCAGGUACAAUGGCAACAGCCAAUUUGGAUGUCGGCAAAAAAGAGAAAGAC
Molecule: long non-coding RNA, 363 nt
Organism: Phasianus colchicus (ring-necked pheasant)
Lineage: Eukaryota; Metazoa; Chordata; Aves; Galliformes; Phasianidae
Source: RefSeq, a predicted model, not a curated record